Molecule: signal recognition particle RNA, 263 nt
Filed under: Candidatus Diapherotrites archaeon CG08_land_8_20_14_0_20_30_16
Lineage: Archaea; Nanobdellati; Candidatus Iainarchaeota
Description: signal recognition particle sRNA large type
Rfam family: Bacterial large signal recognition particle RNA
About the family: The signal recognition particle (SRP) is a universally conserved ribonucleoprotein involved in the co-translational targeting of proteins to membranes. Archaeal SRP consists of a 7S RNA and homologues of the eukaryotic SRP19 and SRP54 proteins.
Source: RNAcentral
AGGAACUAGAUCGGGGGGUUAGUGGUCCCCUACCCAGAGAAUCCACUUUACUCUGGAUCGAAAAGCAUUGAGGCGGCCCAAAGGUAAUUAUUGCAUCAAAAAUUUUGCCUUGAGGAUCAGACUGCAAAUGCUUUCUAUUUAGAAACCCGCUAGGACAGGAAUGGAGCAACGGUAACUAUUUAGAAGGUAGUUUGUGGCCACCUGGUCUGAGUAAAAUUUUGAUUAACAAUAGUUGUCCUGUAAGUCCACUCAAUGAAGUUCCU